Molecule: long non-coding RNA, 407 nt
Organism: Brassica oleracea var. oleracea
Lineage: Eukaryota; Viridiplantae; Streptophyta; Magnoliopsida; Brassicales; Brassicaceae
Exons: 3
Source: RefSeq, a predicted model, not a curated record
CAAAAAUCCAGUUGCAACAACAAAGGUAGUAAUUUGCAUACUGCUAAGCAGGUCAAAAAGGGUUCGCUUGACCCUAAUGGACAAUGCAUCUGCUCUGUUUAGAGAGUUACAUUGCAGGACAAACUUGAAACACGAAGUCGUAAUCAUUACAAGCAUCAAUCCCAGAGUGUGCAAAGGAAAGCUGAUACUCACCUCAACACCUGCUACCCGCUUUUACUGUGACAGUACUAUUGAUCUUAUACGAAGCUUCAAUCAGAGGAACAAAGUUAGUAAUCACUCAUGAGUGAUCAACUAGGCUUUAGUCUAUAGUGUAUAACAAUAAUUCAUUUUCAUGGCUUAAAAAGAAGUUUGUUGCUUUUUAUGAAACUUCAUAAAACUUUCUAUGAAAAAGAUUUAUAAAACUUUUA